UACCUACGGGGCGCAGCAGUGAGGAAUAUUGGUCAAUGGACGAGAGUCUGAACCAGCCAAGUAGCGUGAAGGAUGACUGCCCUAUGGGUUUUAAACUUCUUUUAUACAGGAAUAAAACGAGGCACGUGUGCCUUUUUGCAUGUACUUUAUGAAUAAGGAUCGGCUAACUCCGUGCCAGCAGCCGCGGUAAUACGGAGGAUCCGAACGUUAUCCGGAUUUAUUGGGUUUAAAGGGAGCGUAGAUGGGAUGUUAAGUCAGUUGU
This 262-nucleotide ribosomal RNA is filed under the name uncultured bacterium. Its description in RNAcentral is "partial 16S ribosomal RNA". It matches the Rfam family "Bacterial small subunit ribosomal RNA", at positions 335 to 595 of the family's 1533-position model. The record is from RNAcentral.